UUUUUACAUGUCCCGGAUGAACGCGGCGGCGUGCGUCAUACAUGCAAGUCGAGCGAACAGAUAAGGAGCUUGCUCCUUUGACGUUAGCGGCGGACGGGUGAGUAACACGUGUAUGACCUACGUAUAAGACUGGGAUAACUUCGGGAAACCGGAGCUAAUACCGGAUAACAUAUUGAACCGCAUGGUUCAAUAAUGAAAGGCGGCUUUGCUGUCACUUAUAGAUGGAUCCGCGCCGUAUUAGCUAGUUGGUAAGGUAACGGCUUACCAAGGCAACGAUACGUAGCCGACCUGAGAGGGUGAUCGGCCACACUGGAACUGAGACACGGUCCAGACUCCUACGGGAGGCAGCAGUAGGGAAUCUUCCGCAAUGGGCGAAAGCCUGACGGAGCAACGCCGCGUGAGUGAUGAAGGUCUUCGGAUCGUAAAACUCUGUUAUCAGGGAAGAACAAAUGUGUAAGUAACUGUGCACAUCUUGACGGUACCUGAUCAGAAAGCCACGGCUAACUACGUGCCAGCAGCCGCGGUAAUACGUAGGUGGCAAGCGUUAUCCGGAAUUAUUGGGCGUAAAGCGCGCGUAGGCGGUUUUUUAAGUCUGAUGUGAAAGCCCACGGCUCAACCGUGGAGGGUCAUUGGAAACUGGAAAACUUGAGUGCAGAAGAGGAAAGUGGAAUUCCAUGUGUAGCGGUGAAAUGCGCAGAGAUAUGGAGGAACACCAGUGGGCGAAGGCGACUUUCUGGUCUGUAACUGACGCUGAUGUGCGAAAGCAUGGGGAUCAAACAGGAUUAGAUACCCUGGUAGUCCACGCCGUAAACGAUGAGUGCUAGGUGUUAGGGGGUUUCCGCCCCUUAGUGCUGCAGCUAACGCAUUAAGCACUCCGCCUGGGGAGUACGACCGCAAGUUUGAAACUCAAUGGAAUUGACGGGGACCCGCACAAGCGGUGGAGCAUGUGGUUUAAUUCGAAGCAACGCGAAGAACCUUACGAAAUCUUGACAUCCUUUGACCACUCUAGAGAUAGAGUUUUCCCCUUCGGGGGACAAAGUGACAGCUGGUGCAUGGUUGUCGUCAGCUCGUGUCGUGAGAUGUUGGGUUAAGUCCCGCAACGAGCGCAACCCUUAAGCUUAGUUGCCAUCAUUAAGUUGGGCACUCUAAGUUGACUGCCGGAGACAAACCGGAGGAAGGUGGGGAUGACGUCGAAUCAUCAGGCCCCUUAUGAUUUGGGCUACACACGUGCUACUAUGGACAAUACAGAGGGCAGCUAAACCGAGAGGUCAAGCAAAUCCCAUAAAGUUGUUCUCAGUUCGGAUUGUAGUCUGCAACUAGACUACAUAAAGCUGGAAUCGCUAGUAAUCGUAGAUCAACAUGCUACGGUGAAUACGUUCCCGGGUCUUGUACACAGCGCGCGUCACACCAGGAGAGUUUGGAAAACCAGAAGCGGGGGUAAAACCCCUUUAGGGAGCUUGCCGCCGCAGGAUUCACGACUGAUUGGAGGACAAUCCUACAGAGCCCGGCAGUA
This 1513-nucleotide ribosomal RNA is filed under the name Staphylococcus sp. RNAcentral describes it as "bacterial SSU rRNA". It matches the Rfam family "Bacterial small subunit ribosomal RNA". Lineage: Bacteria; Bacillati; Bacillota; Bacilli; Caryophanales; Staphylococcaceae. The record is from RNAcentral.